RNAcentral lists this non-coding RNA (117 nucleotides) under Gorilla gorilla gorilla (western lowland gorilla). Lineage: Eukaryota; Metazoa; Chordata; Mammalia; Primates; Hominidae. The record is from Rfam by way of RNAcentral.
GCUGGGUGUGGUGGCUCACACCUGUAAUCCCAGCAUUUUGGGAGGCUGAGGCAGGAGGAUCACUCGAGCCCAGGAGUUUAAGACCAGCCUGGGCAACAAAGUGAAACCCUGUCUCAA